AAGCCCCAGACAACAUAGCUCCUAGGAUCAUUCAGGCACGCAAACCCCUCCACCACAAUAAGGUGGCAGUUCAAGGAGGGGCGUCGUUAAUCUGUUGAUCUAAAAUAAAGGGGAAGUGUUUACUAAUUAAAAUAAUUGUGCCCCUCUUCCUGGUAUUUGCUUUACAGGAUAAAAAAUAUCUGUCCUACCCAAUCUUGUUUUAGUUUUAAAUGUUCUGAAUCAGAUAAAUGUGUCUCUUGAAGUAUGGCAAUUGUAGUUUUCUGCUUUUUAAGAUAGGUUAGUAUCUUUCUCCUCUUAAUCACAUGUCCUAACACUUUAACAUUCCAUGUGACAAACCUGGCUGUAUUGUAUGUAGUCUAUAGAAUAACUAUAGUAUAGAAUAACCAAAAGUAAUAAAUACUGAACACUUAAGACUGUAUUAAAUCUGAAACAUGUGUAGAACCGACCAAGGAAGUUUUUGCAUUUCAAUACACAAAACAAAACAUACAGAACCCAAAAACCCCUCCCCCCGCCCUCCAGCCUCAUCCCCAAACGACGAGGCACAGCUAUAGAAAUGAAACUGUACCCGACUGGUACCGAGCAUAGGAUAAUAAUACCCCAUACCCAGUAUUGAUACAGAGUGGUGCCCAUAGGGGGUGCGGGCACUAAAGACCAGUUCCCUUCUCCAAAGUUCAACGUCCCAGGCAUGAGCAUUUAACUAACAGUGCGUGACCUCACCAAAAGCGAUUUUCUUGUAGUUAUUAUAAAAUAAAGAUGUCAGUAAGAUAAAGAAAUAAAGUCCUGAUAACAAAGUAACUGCAAAAUAAGUGAUCUUUGGGUUACUAAAAGUCAAUACAAUAAGAUACUCGAGUGUGCUUAUUACUUAUCCUCUAAAACCUUCAGAAACUCUGUGACGUCCGCUGGGGAGAAAAAAAGAUGCAUCUGUGUUCCGUGAAGAACAUCGUCGAACUCCAGACAUUUCCUCAGCACCUCAGCAGAUACAUACUGAAAGAAACGCAGCUGCGACCCUUCAUGGCUGAUGUUGCGUUUUUUCCGCACUGGUUGCAGUAUUAUCUCCUUAUCCGCAUAACGUAAGAAGCGAACCAGGACACUUCGUGGAGCGCAGUUUACUCCUGAGGCAGAGCCGAGAUAUCUAUGAGCUCUUUCGAUCUCAAAAUGUGGAUCGGCUGUGAGGUCUAGCCACUUCGGCAACAUCCUGGUAAGAAACUGAGCGAUAGGUUCAGCCUUCUCAGGGAGGCCGACGACUCUCAAGUUUUUGCGCUACAAUACUGUCUACCGUCAAUAUUGCCCAAACUGGUUCCCAGCGAGCGAAUUUCACGCGUUUCAAGUGGAAAAUCACGCGUUUCUUCGUUCUUCGACAUUAAUGUUGGUACAACACACUUCAAUCAUAAAAUGGAUUAACCAAAGAUAAAUAAAAAAGAAAAGGGAACCAGCACAGCGGCCAAUUAAGCGGCCAUCUUCCACGAGGUCCCACUAGCGCCCCGGUCCCUUUCUUUUUUAGGGCAUUCCAAAUUGUUGAUUUCUCCUUUGACAGCUCUUCAUAAUGUUUUACCCUAUUUUAACAACAAAGGGGAAACUCAGCUCUAGAGUAGAAAUUCAAAGCUAUUAUAAUGUAAUAUAAUGUUUAAACAAUCAGUCUAACAGGGCACACAAAUUGUCAGUGUCAAAGAGGUUUCAAUAUCUGAUUGCUUAAAAAAUGUUUUUAAAAAUGUUCAAACAAAAAUGUCAUGGUCUGCCAACAUAUCUAGAUGUAAAUAACAGGAAAUGAAAGCUGAAUAAUGAAUUGUGAUAAUCAUCUCAUUGUAGUGAAUUUCGUUUCUUGGUGGUGUAUAUAUUAUAUACAUCUAUAAUAUUUUAAUAUAGUUGCAGAAAUAUAUUACAGUUUUUCUCAAUUGCUAAAACACUAAACCAUAUUGUCUGAACCAAAUGCUCAGUUGCCUGAACCCAAUGAUUGAAUCAAUCACUCUUUUGGCAAAACCAUAAGCACUUUUCACCUGUUUAGACACAACUUGCCAACACAUUUUCAUUGUGAUGCAUCCUUGCUUCAUAAUGGUGAGCACAGGUGACAAAAGUCAAAGACAAUUAAAGCACAGGUGUCACCACUUGAACACAACAACUCAAAAUUGAUCACACUUGUGGCUAAUAAAGUGAGAGAACAUAUACAGCAAGCCAGUUCAGAUAGCACUACAAUGGAUAGAAGUCUGAGAGGAAAAGUUUGUGUGAGAGGUGGUCAGUGAAGACAAAGAACAGUAAUAUCUGAUGAAAUCAGAGCUACUGUGAUUGACCAUGUUCUUGUCCAUGGUAUGAGCAUGAGGGAGGCUGGACAAAGGGUGCAACCAGACAUCAGUAGAUUCACUGUGUCCACCAUAAUCCGAAGAUUUAGAGGUAAUUACCUUUUUUUGACAUUAUAGUACAGUAUGUAAAUGUCAACAGCAAUUACUGUAUGACAUACUAUAUACUGUACCACAGUAUACUGUAAGUAAAUAUAGGUUUCCGUACAUCACUGUACCAAUGUACUGUAGUAUUGUAAUGGAAGGUUGGUGUAACUGUUUGUAGGCCUAGUAUUCCAUGUAUAUUUUUGUAACUCCAUGUUCUCUUUUUGUAGAAUUGAAAGACUGCCACAUGGGGGUGGGAGGACAGGUAUGUUCUCCCCACACCAAGAGACCCUAAUUGUUGAUAUGGUCCGUGAGAACAAUGAUAUUAAACUGAGUGAAAUUCAGCAGAAGAUCAUUGAGGACCAUGUAAAUUUUGAGGGUAUAAACAGUGUCAGCCCCUCUACUGUUGAUCGUGUCCUCAAGCGCAACAGACUACGCAUGAAACAGCUAUACAGAGUGCCCUUUGAUCGCAACUCAGACAGAGUCAAAUAGCAAAGAUUCCAGUAUGUACAGAGGGUUCUUCAACUGGAUGCAAUGGAAAGACCCCAUGAAUACAUGUACAUGGAUGAAGCUGGGUUUAAUCUCACCAGAAGGAGAAGGAGAGGCUGUAAUGUGAUUGGCCAUCAGGCCAUUGUUGGAGUUACUUGGCAGCGUGGUGGCAAUGUCACAUUAUGUGCUGCCAUCAGCAAUCAUGGUGUUGUCCACCAUCAUGCCAACCUGUGGCCCUACAACACUCACCCGCUCCUCAUUUUCCUCAAUCGCAUGUGAGAUGCUCUGUUAGGGCAGCAGGAUGAGCAUCCCAUCUAUGUUGUUGUUUGGGACAAUGUGAGUUUUCACAGAGACCUCCAGGUUAGAGAGUGGUUCAAUAUUAACCAAGGUUUUAUCAAACUUUGCCUUCCACCGUACUCCCCUUUCCUAAACCCCAUUGAGGAAUUCUUCUCCUCAUGUCGGUGGAAGGUAUAUGAACGGCAACCUUACACCAGGGUACAUCUCCUGCAAGCCAUGGCACUUGCCUGUGGUGACAUAGUUAUGGAGGCAUGCCAAGCCUGGAUACGGUAUGCCAGGGUUUUUUUUCCCGUUGCCUGGCCAGACAAAAUGUGGCCUGUGAUGUGGAUGAAGUGCUAUGGCCUGACCCAGUACGGAGACAUGAUGCCGUGGCUGAGUAAUGCACUUAUUUGUGUAUUUUUGUACUUUAUUUUUACAUGGGCUUACUGUACACAAGUGGCAAACGCAUAAGGUUUCUGUUUGUUUUUACAAGUGCUACGUGUAAAUGCACAAGAUUUCUGUGUUGUCUGUUUGUACAAGUGCAGAAUCCACAGGUUUUUUUUUUGUUUUGCAACAUGCAUUUAGCAGUAAUAAUAAAAAUGUGAACAAUAAAAAUUUAUUUCUCCAG
Long non-coding RNA from Tachysurus fulvidraco (yellow catfish), 3768 nucleotides. RefSeq lists it as uncharacterized. The record is from RefSeq and is a predicted model, not a curated record. The transcript is spliced from 2 exons. Lineage: Eukaryota; Metazoa; Chordata; Actinopteri; Siluriformes; Bagridae.